ACUAAACGCAGACCAUAUCACCAUUCACCUUCUUCUUCUCUCUCAUGAACAAGAGAAAGAGAAAGAAGAAAAACGAGACUUUUCUUUCUUUGAUUUUGUUUUGUUAUAAACAUUCUUUACAUCAAACAAAAAUCAGAACCCCAGAUAAAAAUAAAGGGGAAGAUGGGAGAUAAAAAUAAUGGAGCUUGUGUGGUCCUCGCUCAUUUUCAACUUUUCCUUCCCUACUAUAAUUCCCACCUUCAUUAUUGCUCCUCUUAUUUUUCAUGUUUUUUCACUCCUUAGAAUCUCACCUUUUUUUCUUUUUUUUGAGAAUUUUGUGCCCAAAGUUUUGGUUUUUAUUGUUUCACCUUGUAAUUUUUGCUAAUGGAUGGAAAAGGGAAGCAGCGGAUGAUGGGAAAGGUGGUGAAGAAGGAAGCAGCUGAGCUUGUUUGGGAGUCAUCAGAUGAUGAUGGGUAUGUGAAGAUGGGGUGUGUGGAAAAUGAUGUUGAGAGUAACAAGAAAAAGAAAGUGGUGGCUGGUGGCUGUGGUGGUGGUGGAGGAGGAGGAGGAGGAAAGAAAGGUUCAGGUGGUGGUGGUUGUGGUGGAAGUGGAGGGAUGAGGUGUUGUCAAGCUGACAUGUGUAUGGCUGAUCUGAGUGAUGCAAAGCCGUAUCAUAGAAGGCAUAAGGUUUGUGAGAAUCAUGCAAAGGCUCAGAUUGUGCUUGUGGCUGGGAUUAGGCAACGGUUUUGUCAACAAUGUAGCAGGUUCCCAAGAAACAAAUUCCAUGAGCUAUCAGAAUUUGAUGAAACCAAAAAGAGUUGUCGCAGGCGUUUGGCUGGACAUAAUGAGCGACGAAGGAAGAAUGCUGCUGAAUCUCAUUCAGAAGGUGGUAACCACAAAGGGACAGUCACUCAGUUGAAAGAUAUGAUCUGCGGGCAGGUUGAUGAUAGGGGAAGAAUUAAAAUAACUAUCCAAGAAAAUGCCACUUACAAGCAUUUCCAGAUCAGAUAAACAGAUUGCUCUGUAGUUUGCUCCCUCUCUUCUGUCAUCCUAGAGAUAAUCUUGUUGUAUAUGUAGUAUAUCAUUAUUGAAUAUUCCUGUAAGUUAAUCAUAUACUAAUGGCAUUGGAGCAUUCACUUCACAGUGACAGGGUUGCUAGUUUUGGUUCAGUCUUUUGUGGCUAGCCAAUUAACUUGACCCAUUCUGUACUUAUGGGGUAGGAUGUGAUCGUUGGCACUUGGCCAUCAUUGAGUGCUUUGCUUCAUUAAUGUUCCGAAUGUGAUUUUUAAGGUUGAUCUUUGCUUUGUUGCAAAUCUUGCUCUAAGCAUUGUGAUUUGUGAAGCUGCUGUUAGGUGGGUUCAACCCCAUCAUUCUCGUGAAGCUACUUGAGUGGGAUUUGUUACAGUUCAAAAUCCUACUGGAAAACUCUGGAUUCUGGGAAAGCAUCAUUACCAUUCAUUAAAGUUACGGACCCAACCGCGCUUAGCCUUUCUUCUUCUUCUUCUUCGUCGUCGUCGUCUCUCUCUCUCUCUCUACUCUUUACAUUUGACAGAGGGAGUAGUAUCUGACUGAUAAAUCUCGACAACGAUGAGGAAGAUGCUCCUUCGCCGCCUCUUCAAAAUGGCCAUCAAUAUCCUAAGCAAUCUCACCUCGUCCCAUCUCCCCUUGUGACCCCAAACUCCACCAACAACAAGAACUGGAGGGAGAGGAAGAGGACCAGGCACCCAGAACCCAGAAGAAGAAGGAGAAGAAGAGCAAGCCAAAGAGAAGCAAUCGGCACAAGCUGAAAAUUUUUCCCUUUCAACGUUAACUACACCAAUUUGACAACAGAAAUAGCCAGUUUCAAUCAGAUCUUUUAAUUGGCUUGGAGCUUGCCCGUGAGCACUAUUGCAGCGAGAGAUUAAGAAGCUAAAGAACUAACAUAUUUCCCCUUUUUGCAAGGAAAAAGAUUCUAAUGAAUUUUUAUUAAAUCAUGAAUAA
RNA transcript from Manihot esculenta (cassava), 1959 nucleotides. It is a transcript of the gene named squamosa promoter-binding protein 1, with no coding region annotated. The transcript has 5 exons. The record is from RefSeq and is a predicted model, not a curated record. NCBI's taxonomy places the organism in Eukaryota, Viridiplantae, Streptophyta, Magnoliopsida, Malpighiales, Euphorbiaceae.